Molecule: long non-coding RNA, 527 nt
Organism: Carassius auratus (goldfish)
Lineage: Eukaryota; Metazoa; Chordata; Actinopteri; Cypriniformes; Cyprinidae
Exons: 4
Source: RefSeq, a predicted model, not a curated record
UAUACCGUAUUAAGUUAAUUGUGAGAUGUCUGAUUAGAUACACCGUCGAACAUUUAACUUUAGCUUUACUUAAAGCUUAUCUUAGUUACUCUAACAGCGUUCUCUCUUUUACCACAGCAUUUUCUACAUUGACCGACGAUAAAUAAAGUUAUAAGGUAUAUGUUCCCACUUUACUCUUCUGACCGAUGUCUCCAUCCUCGUGGAGUUUCGAGAGGCCCUGGAGAACAAAUUCAACACCAUUCUGAAGUUCUGCCAAGAAGUCAACUGUCAUCAAGGCGUGAAAGAUGUUUUGGCUUGUUUUGAACCGGAGGCUUCAGACAAGGCUACAUGCAUUCUUCUCCUUCUGAUGGCGUACUUCAAAGAGCCCAAGGAUGCUAUUGUGCUUGAUGUUGAUCCUUGUGCCACAGCCACUGAUGUAGAAGGGACUGUGAUGCUACCAAGCACCCCUCGCUUGAUUGUUCAAGGAUAUCUGGAAAAAAUGGACAUACUUUAAAGAACCACAAGAUGCCAUCAUGCUUGAGGCUGAC